CUACUUACCUGGCAGGGUAAGUACCAUGAUCACGUAGGUGGUUUUCCCAGGGCGAGACUCAUCUAUUGCAAAAGUAUGAUGUUACCUAGUGAAAUUAGACAUUGGCAUAUCCUGUGGCCC
This 120-nucleotide small nuclear RNA is filed under the name Sorex araneus (European shrew). RNAcentral describes it as "U1 spliceosomal RNA (ENSSARG00000019978.1)". It matches the Rfam family "U1 spliceosomal RNA". Rfam says of the family: U1 is a small nuclear RNA (snRNA) component of the spliceosome (involved in pre-mRNA splicing). The record is from RNAcentral. Lineage: Eukaryota; Metazoa; Chordata; Mammalia; Eulipotyphla; Soricidae.